ACCGGCAGCUCAAGUGGUGGCCAUUAUUAUUGGGCCUAAAGCGUUCGUAGCCGGUUUGAUAAGUCUCUGGUGAAAUCCCGCAGCUUAACUGUGGGACUUGCUGGGGAUACUAUCAGACUUGAGGCCGGGAGAGGUUAGGGGUACUCCCAGGGUAGGGGUGAAAUCCUAAAAUCCUAGGAAGACCACCUGUGGCGAAGGCGCCUAACUGGAACGAACCUGACGGUGAAUAACGAAAGCCAGGGGCUCGAACCG
RNAcentral lists this ribosomal RNA (252 nucleotides) under uncultured prokaryote. Its description in RNAcentral is "partial 16S rRNA". It matches the Rfam family "Archaeal small subunit ribosomal RNA", at positions 475 to 726 of the family's 1478-position model. The record is from RNAcentral.